UACGUAGGGUGCAAGCGUUGUCCGGAAUUAUUGGGCGUAAAGAGCUCGUGGGCGGUCUGUCGCGUCUGCUGUGAAAACCUAGGGCUUAACCCUGGGCCUGCAGUGGGUACGGGCAGACUAGAGUGCGGUAGGGGAGACUGGAAUUCCUGGUGUAGCGGUGAAAUGCGCAGAUAUCAGGAGGAACACCGGUGGCGAAGGCGGGUCUCUGGGCCGUAACUGACGCUGAGGAGCGAAAGCAUGGGGAGCGAACAGG
This 253-nucleotide ribosomal RNA is filed under the name uncultured bacterium. Its description in RNAcentral is "partial 16S ribosomal RNA". It matches the Rfam family "Bacterial small subunit ribosomal RNA", at positions 524 to 776 of the family's 1533-position model. The record is from RNAcentral.